Molecule: ribosomal RNA, 537 nt
Filed under: Haplosporida sp.
Lineage: Eukaryota; Endomyxa; Ascetosporea; Haplosporida
Description: SSU rRNA
Rfam family: Eukaryotic small subunit ribosomal RNA
Source: RNAcentral
GCGGCUUAAUUUAACUCAACACAGGAAAACUUACCAGGUCCAGACAUAGUAAGGAUUGACAGAUUGCAGUUCUUUCUUGAUUCUAUGAAUGGUGGUGCAUGGCCGUUCUUAGUUGGUGGAGUGAUUUGUCUGGUUAAUUCCGAUAACGAACGAGAUCUCAGCCGUCCAAAUAGCCGUAACUUGAUCUCGCGGCUUGCCGCAUAGUCAAGUUCUUACCUCUGGUGCAUGUAAUUUUGGCUUCUUUGAGGGACAACCUGUUUCCAGCAGGUGGAAGUUUGAGGCUAUAACAGGUCUGUGAUGCCCUUAGAUGAUCUGGGCUGCACGCGCGCUACAUUGGUGCAUUCAGAAAGUUCCUUGCUCGUGAGAGCUAGGUAAUCAAUAAAAUGCAUCCAAGUCGGGACAGGCGAUUGCAAUUUUUCGCCUCGAACAAGGAAUAUAUAGUAAACGCAAGUCAUCAACUUGCAUUGACUGCGUCCCUGCCUCUUGUACACACCGCCCGUCGCUUCUACCGAUUGAAUAAUAAGGUGAACUGUGUGG